GCUAGUUCAAAGCUGGUAUAUUUGCUCAAAUACUUUUACUAUGCAAUAUGGUUCGAUUCCGGAGAGGGAGCCUGAGAAAGGCUACCACAUCCAGGAAGGCAGCAGGCGCGCAACUUACCCAAUCCCGACACGGGGAGGUAGUGACAAUAAAUAACAAUACAGGGCUCUUUUGGGUCUUGUAAUUGGAAUGAGUACAAUUUAAAUCCCUUAACGAGGAACAAUUGGAGGGCAAGUCUGGUGCCAGCAGCCGCGGUAAUUCCAGCUCCAAUAGCGUAUAUUAAAGUUGUUGCAGUUAAAAAGCCCGUAGUUGAAUUUGAGAAUUAAUUUUAAGGUCCAUUUAACGAUGAGUACUUUAAAAUUGAUUCUUACCUUUUGGUGAACUAAAUGAUUGAAAGAUUGUUUAGGGAACCAAAAAUUUUACCUUGAGAAAAUUAGAGUGUUCAAAGCAGGCCUAAAGCCGGAAUACAUUAGCAUGGGAAUAAUAAAAUAGGACGUGUGAUUCUAUUUUGUUGGUUUUUAGAAUUACCGUAAUGAUUAAUAGGAACAGUUGGGGGGCGUUUGUAUUCAGUAGCUGGAGGUGAAAAUUCUUGGAGUAAACAGAAAGACAAACUACUGCGGGGGGCCAUUUGCCGGACGAAGGUUUUCCAUUAAUAAAGUGAGGAAAAUUUUGCGCGAGCCCCAGAAAACUUAGGAAGGGGGGUUGGUA
Molecule: ribosomal RNA, 706 nt
Filed under: uncultured Funneliformis
Lineage: Eukaryota; Fungi; Glomeromycota; Glomeromycetes; Glomerales; Glomeraceae
Description: bacterial SSU rRNA
Rfam family: Eukaryotic small subunit ribosomal RNA
Source: RNAcentral